CCUACGGGCGGCUGCAGUGGGGAAUAUUGGACAAUGGGGGGAACCCUGAUCCAGCCAUGCCGCGUGUGUGAAGAAGGCCCUCGGGUUGUAAAGCACUUUCAGUGAGGAAGGACGCCUGGUGGUUAAUACCCAUCAGGAAAGACAUCACUCACAGAAGAAGCACCGGCUAACUCCGUGCCAGCAGCCGCGGUAAUACGGAGGGUGCGAGCGUUAAUCGGAAUUACUGGGCGUAAAGCGCGCGUAGGUGGCUUGAUAAGCCGGUUGUGAAAGCCCCGGGCUCAACCUGGGAACGGCAUCCGGAACUGUCAAGCUAGAGUGCAGGAGAGGAAGGUAGAAUUCCCGGUGUAGCGGUGAAAUGCGUAGAGAUCGGGAGGAAUACCAGUGGCGAAGGCGGCCUUCUGGACUGACACUGACACUGAGGUGCGAAAGCGUGGGUAGCAAACAGGAUUAGAUACCCCAGUAGUC
RNAcentral lists this ribosomal RNA (465 nucleotides) under Vreelandella stevensii. Its description in RNAcentral is "partial 16S ribosomal RNA". It matches the Rfam family "Bacterial small subunit ribosomal RNA", at positions 338 to 795 of the family's 1533-position model. Lineage: Bacteria; Pseudomonadati; Pseudomonadota; Gammaproteobacteria; Oceanospirillales; Halomonadaceae. The record is from RNAcentral.